This 844-nucleotide long non-coding RNA is filed under the name Homo sapiens (human). Its description in RNAcentral is "HSALNT0256655". The record is from RNAcentral. Lineage: Eukaryota; Metazoa; Chordata; Mammalia; Primates; Hominidae.
CCUCCAGUGAUCCACCCUCCUCAACCUCCCAAAGUGCUGGGUUUACAGGCGUGAGCCACAGUGCCUGGCUGCUGAACUCACCUUCUAUGUCUGUUCUUCCUCUUUCCUUCAAAUGAGGGCUCUUUGAGAUUCCCCUCUGUUCUCCACACACCUUCCCUGGCUUGUGGAACCCCUCUCCUUCACUUAGUGACACCUGAAGCCCAACACUUCUGGCACCUCCAGCUCCCACCCGCACCUCCCUCCUAGACUCUGUUCCCUUGGCUGCUGCCCCUGCUCGGGCCUGUCCUUUGUUCCCAGAACCGGGGCCUCAGCCUCCUCCCUCACUUCCAGUCUGGCUUCUGUUGACCUCUGCUCACACACCCUCCAUGGCUCCCCACUGCCUGCACCAUAAGUCUAAAUUCCUCUGCCUGUCAUUCAAGGCCUUGCGCAUCUUCCAGCAGCCUCCAGCCUCCCGCUCCGUGCCCUUGUGCUGGCUGCAUGGAUGCUCACAUUCCCUGAAUCCCCACUGCAUCCUGUUCACCCCCCAAUCAGUGCACACAUCUCAGUGAUCAUGGGCAUUAAUUAAUCCAUGAAUGAACUCAGGAAGCAGGAGGGAGAAAGAUGUUUCUGGAGCUCCUUCCCAGCUCGGGAGCUCCUAAGAGGCCAACUCCAAGUCUGAAAACCUCUAGGGCCUCAAUGCCAGCCCAGAGAAAAACAGGGAGUGGUUGUUAAAUGAAUAAAUUUAAAUGUCUAUCCGUAGUUUUGUUUGUUUUAAGACGAUGUCUCUCACGCCGGUAAUCCCAGCACUUUGGGAGGCCAAGCAUGAGCCACUGCGCCCAGCCUCAAAGAGCAUUCUUGCCCACUU